GCAGUUUGUGAACAUUGGGGUUAGCGUUAGACGAGAAAAUCGAUACCCCUCUCUCUCAUGAUUGUAGGGUCAAUAUGAAGCUAUAUCCAGGAGACGGUUAGCUUAGCAUAAAGACUGGAAGCACAGAAACCUUACUCUGUCCAAAGGCGACUACUAGCUAGCAGCUUACUAAUUAACACAUCAACCUUAUGAAAAUUAAAAAAACGACAAUUUGUAGUUUUAUAGGGGACUGAAGGUAGAACCCAGGAGAAAUAGUUUGGCACAAAACCUCUGUAAAACCAUUUUUACACAGCUAAAACAAACACCAACAAUAAUUUCUUUAUUUGUGAGCUGAGGUAAGGCGGACUUUGAUAACCUCGGGCAGAGCCAGACUGGCUGUUUCAAGUCUUUAUGCUAAGCUAACCAGCUGCUGGCUGUAAUUACAUAUAUAACUGACAAAAAUAAAUAGUGAUGUAAAUCUUACACUCAGCAAGAAAGCCUAAUUCCAAAAAUGUCAAAUUGUUCCUUUAAAUUUGGACAUAAAAUGGGACCAUAACUGGAUGAUUAAACGCUAAAGCCAUGAAAGAUAUUAAGUAGUGGGUGAUUGGAUUUUUUCCCCCCUGUGCUGAGCCUUCCUUUAAAUUGACCAAAUCUUCAAUGUGAACAAUUUUGGGUGUUACAACAGUCAACCAACAGCUGUGUCUCAUUUAUCAACCUUUUUAGGAAUGUUUAAAAAAAAAAAAGUACGACGAUUGACAUGGUGUCUCAUGAUCAAUUUUUACAUUAUAUAUAACAUACAUUUGUAUAUCAAGAUCUGAAUUGUUUCAGUGUUGCCAUGAGAUGAAUCCCUCACUGACUCCUAGCAGAGCACCUGCUAGCCAGUGCGCUAAAACGCUGUGGAAGUCAUUUGGUCUUCUGUGUUGCUUUGACUUGACGCUGUGAACUUAUCUGUAUAGUUUCAUGCUUUAUUUUUUAUUUUUUUUAAAUGCACUGUACUUCUUAGCCUUGUACCAGCUGUGCCUUUAAUAUUGUAAGAUACAUUUGUGUAAAUGUAUUAUGUAUUAAGCUUUAAACCAGGUUUAAUAGACAUUCCAGGUCAAAAUUGCACAAAAGCUUUUAUUUUGUAAAAUGGCUCCUGGUUAUUUUUUUAUAAAGAAAUUAAUGGAAAUAUAUUCUCAGUAAUUUGCUUGUGUUUUGUUGAGAGAUAUUUUAGUUUUUUUUGGAAUAAAGUGAAUUACUUUUCAGAAUUACUAUAUUCAUUUUAGUUGGUAAUACACACUCUUUCACAACUCAAAGAACGACCGCUGUACAGACUGUUUAUGAAACAGAUUAAAUUUACUUUCGAUGGUUAUGAGAAAUAAAUAGUUCCAGUAAAAAGAGUCACACAAACUGUUCACCGGCAGCUCAGUGUUUCAGAGAGAUCGAAUUCACAACACAGCAGGCCUUCCAUGCACCAGACGCACAC
Long non-coding RNA from Sander lucioperca (pikeperch), 1444 nucleotides. RefSeq lists it as uncharacterized. The record is from RefSeq and is a predicted model, not a curated record. Lineage: Eukaryota; Metazoa; Chordata; Actinopteri; Perciformes; Percidae. The transcript is spliced from 3 exons.